UCAUUAGUUCAUUGUUUCGAAGGUCAACUUGCCGUGAUUGCAAAAUACACUUUCGUAUUUUUCUCUUUAUUGUUCAAGACAAGAAUUAUAUAAACAACCAUAAUGUCGACAAUAAUUGAAGAUGAACAAAUGAAUAAUCAGCGAGUGUUGCCUCGGAUAGUUCUGAUAGCCUGUGGUUCCUUCAGCCCACCGACACCAAUGCACUUUCGCAUGUUCGAAAUUGCCCGUGAUUAUUACAAAACACAAGGAACACAUCACGUCAUUGGUGGCAUCGUUUCACCCACACACGAUUCAUACCAGAAAAAAGGACUCGUUGCUGGUACACAUCGAUUUGCUAUGUUAAAAUUAGCAUUGCAAUCCUCAACAUGGAUUAAACCCUCAGACUGGGAAAUACAGCAAACGGAAUGGUCACGCACAAUCUCCGUUCUGCAGUACCAUCAAAACUAUAUAAAUAACUAUAUCAAUUCACCACUAGAAAGUGACAUGAACGGUACUCUACCUAGUUGGAUGCCUCCCGGUUUGCGUGAGCGGCAGGAUGGUGUACAAUUGAAAUUGCUGUGUGGAGCUGAUUUACUAGAAUCAUUUGCAGUGCCGGGGUUAUGGGCAGAUAAGGAUAUUGAAGAUAUUGUUGGCAAUCAUGGUUUAGUGGUUAUCUCACGUAAUGGCUCUAAUCCUGAAAAAUUCAUUUUCGAGUCAGAUAUGUUGACAAAAUAUCAGAAACAUAUUACGUUAAUAACGAAUUGGGUACUAAACGAGAUGAGUUCAACAUUAAUACGACGUCUUAUUUCGCGCGAUCAGUCUGUGAAAUACUUGCUUGAUGACAGGGUCAUUGACUAUAUUCAAAUGCAAGGAUUAUUUAAUUGUAAAACGUGACAUAAUACUACCGUAAAUAAAGCUCUUUCCGACAACAUCACUCCGCCUUAUAAAAUUACAAGUUUAAAAAGCAGUUUCAUGCGAUUAAAAAUUGCAGAAACAAACCGACAACCUGUCACAUUUAAGUGGAAACUAUUAAUGGAGAUUUCAAUUUAGAUAACCGUAAGCCGUCAAGCAUGAACGUGUUUUGUUGUGGU
RNAcentral lists this unclassified non-coding RNA (1070 nucleotides) under Bactrocera tryoni. RNAcentral's name for it is "nicotinamide/nicotinic acid mononucleotide adenylyltransferase 3-like, transcript variant X1". The record is from RNAcentral. Lineage: Eukaryota; Metazoa; Arthropoda; Insecta; Diptera; Tephritidae.